GUAGACGUGGCAGACAGAAAUCUAAACAUCACCCAAAGCAGUGAAGUCCCAGGCAUUAAUCUUCAACAAAUAUUUAUUGAAAUCUGGCAGUCCAGACAUGCUUAUUCCAGGAGAAGCUGACAAGUAAAAGAGGGAGAAAGAGAGACAGGCAUGCGACCAAGCACAGUUUAUUUUCACAAGCUGCAUGCUAGCGAACAAAGACCUAGGAGAGCACAUCAAAAAAGGCAAUAUGUUCUGGCUGGGGGCUUGGAGCAGUCUGGAAGAACUCACAGAAGUGAUGACAUUCAAAGAAGGCCUGAGGAAGUAAAGAAAUUCACCGGGCAGAGAAAGAAGGGAAGGACAUUUUACAUCAGAGUGGGAACAGCACGAGCAUAUCAUGGCAGCGAAGAGCAUAUGGCACUUUUAUGAUAGAACGUAAGAUGCAGAGGUGGGAAGGUGGCAGAGGACAUUCAAAAGUGACGUUGCAGUCAUAUUCUGAGGGAUCUGACAGAUGAGCUGUUAAGAAAUAUGGACUCUGUUCUAUCAGUAUUAUGAAAUCAUUGAAUCAUUCAUUCAUUGAAAUGGUAUUUUCGGAGGACUUACUAUGUGCUAAGUACUGUGUCAGCCUCUGAAGAUUAAAAUAAAAAGGAAGGCCCUCCAGGGACUCACAGUCUGGUAGGGAGAAAGGCAGGCAAACAGUCACAGUACGGGGGCCAGAGUGUUCAUGAACGCAGUCUCAGGUCUGAAGGAGAGCUCUGUGCUAGAAUAAAACAAAAUCACCCAGUAGAUCAGAAUCUACUCACGAAUGCUCCACGUGGCUAAUGCUGCUUGCUGGUUUCCGUUGCUCUCGUCAGCUUUGGACCCUCCCCCUGUACUGUUGGCGAGAGUUCUUGGGGGGUUUCGGGGACAUUGUAGCUGGCAGUAGUGUUCAUGCCUCUACUUUACUGGCAGUAACAAUUAGAAUUGGUCCAGGCUGUACAAAAGAGAAAUCCACAAAUACCAAUUGCAUGAGCAUCAUUUUCUCAUGAAACUUUUCUCGCAUCACAGAAGAUGAGUUAGGCAGACAGGGCUGGGAAGGGAGGCUCGUAGGUUCAUUAGCAACCCAGAUUUUGUCUAUCUGCAACUUUAGCUUGUCAUUUCUAUCCUCAAGGGCAUCAUAAGCUUUUAAAGCUCCAGCCAUUCUACCUGCCAUCCAAGCAGUGAGAAGAGGAGAGAGAGAGGAAGACAAAUAGGAGAAGAGCUUUCUAUACAGCAUUCCUGGAUGUCUCGUCCAACAUUUGUUGGAUGUUAUUGGAUGUUCCAUCAUACUUGUGGGCCAGGACUUAGUUAAAUGGCUACACCUUGCUACAAGGAAGUCUGGGAAAUACAGUCUUUCAGCUGGAUACAUCCCCCUGGCCUGAAUAAAAGCUGGGUUCUCUUACAAAGCACAAAAAGGGGAUUGAAUAUUGGUUAGGCACCUGUCAAUCUUUCAUAUCAGCCCACGUGAGAUAGCCAGGGUUUGGUGAAAUAAAAUGCUGUUUCUCCUCAAAACACUUCUCUCUUCCUGAUUGGGGAGGGACCCUGUUCUCUGCAGAGAAAUUCUUUCUCAUGACAGGGCCAACAUGUCUGCCAAAAGACAGCAAUAGGACUUCCCAAUCAUUCUAUAUAUUUAAGGGAGACUUUUUAAAAACUACAAUACGGUUGAACUCAUGUGAUUUUUUUUUUUGCCAUGAAGUUUCUUGUUAAGCAUUGAACAUUUAAAAGUAAAUUUUGACUAAUGUGAAAUAAAAGAAUGUUACUUGAAGCAA
RNAcentral lists this long non-coding RNA (1766 nucleotides) under Homo sapiens (human). Its description in RNAcentral is "HSALNT0392786". Lineage: Eukaryota; Metazoa; Chordata; Mammalia; Primates; Hominidae. The record is from RNAcentral.